Molecule: long non-coding RNA, 1369 nt
Organism: Brassica napus (rape)
Lineage: Eukaryota; Viridiplantae; Streptophyta; Magnoliopsida; Brassicales; Brassicaceae
Exons: 2
Source: RefSeq, a predicted model, not a curated record
UUUAUUCACUUCCACAAACUUGUAUCAUUCGUCAACUACUUUUAUAUCUACACGUUAUUAGUUCUCAUGCUGCCAACAUUGCAUAUGGAGUAGUUUUCGUUAAGAAAACACAUAGCAUAUGGUAUUCCGCAAGUAUGGUGGUCUCAAUAGUAUAAUUCGAUACAUUCAAUGUAUAUUGAAAACUUUCGUACUAUUUAGUCUAACGAUCAUGGAAGAUUAAACGAUAGCUGGACUAGAGGAAACAAAAGCUAAUAAUCAUCAUGAUGUCACAUAAUUAAACUUGGCUCGCCCUAGUCCGCAGUCUCUCUCUUUCUGCCGCCAAGUUUUCAAGCUUCAGAUCUGGGCCUCUCCGGAGAGGUCCCAAUCCUCUUUCUUUUGCUUUUACUUCUUAUGUUCGUAGUUAGAUCCGUGCCAACGUGGGAUUCUUUUUGAUGGUUGUUAACUCGAUCUAGGCUUACCAUCUCAAUGAUGGGUGUUUCAUCGUCUAUUUCUGAUGGGUUUCUUUCCUUGGUGGCUUUCUUCCUUCCCAGCGGGUUGGUGUAAUUACUGAUGGAGAUAUAGGCUUGACGUCUCUAGUAGAGUAGACAGAUUCUUGAUUCUACAGUUGGUUACAACAGAUUUCGAGAUUUGGGUUGAUCCUCGUGAAGGCAUUAUCUCUUGGUACCUCUCCCCGGUCUCAUUUGUGGUCUCUUGUGGCAUUUGGUAGAGUUUUGGGUUUGUUUUAGCAUUUGGACUUGCAAAGCUCUGGUUUUUGCUUUGUCCUUCUCUUGUUGGUUUCGUUCUGGUUUUGCUUGUUACUCAGUUUGAGCUGUUGUGGUAAGUUGGAUGGAUUGCACUUGUGGCUUUUUUGAGGUCUCUAUUUACCUUGGGAUGAGGGUUAAUCAAGAGAUUCAUUAUCAUCCCAAACUGGUUUUGUGUUGGCGCUUCUGACAUUUUGGUUGGAGUUUUUUUCUCUAGUGCCUUAGUUAUGUUGAAGAAGUUGUGCGUAUGAGGAGUGCUUUAUCUUGGUCUUGAUGCAACGGUCCGGAGUAGAUUGAGAGGUUGGGACGUAUGCAGAAAAAAGUAAAACUUGGAGAAUUCUUGCCGGACCAGCCAUUCUUGUAUGGACCAGCCGAUUUCAAUUGGAGCGCCACUACAGGAAAUGUGAGUAUUAAUAGCUGGCGUUAAACGUUAUUAAUUCGUUUUAAUAGCGUUCCCUAAAACGCUCUGACAGCGCCCGUUAUCGUAGGUCUGACCUUUUUGAUAGCGGAUCUGUCGUAUACUAUAGUUAAAUAAACAACGAUAUCGUUAAUAGCUAUGCAAUUUUUAAUAUUUAUAAUAACGUGAUACAAAUGUUAUUAAAAUUUAUUAGUUUGAUUUUAAUGACGUA